UUGUGACCACGGUGUUUUGUCAUAACAACAGAACUCCCAACUAGGACACCUAUCCAGAGACGCUCUCAUAGCAAUCCUCUCAGCUCUUUGGCUCUUGUAAUCCUUCUGCUCCCUUCUUCUGCAAUGUAUCCAAAAGGUUUUAUUUGCCCCUUUUCAACCUGAUGCCUUUCCGCAGCCCUGAACAGAGUCAACGACCACCUAUAUAUGAAUUCUACACUGCGAGGGAGAAGAGGUUGGAAUGGCUGACCACCAAGAACCUUUCCAGGAUGUGCCGUUAGGAAGCCAUGUAAUUCAUCUAGUCUGUGCUCACUGUGGCCUCAGACCUAAACAGUGUGUAUGUGCACAGCGCUGCCUUGGGUUCAAGUACAGAGUACAUGCGUAUUAGGAGCGAAGGCUAAACGUACAGAAUUGCUGUUAAGAACAUCGACUUACCAAACCUCCAUUGGGUACUUCCUGGGUUCAGCACCGGAAGACGAGGGAUAAAACUCUCACUGCUCUCAGAGAGAAAGAGGCUCAUUUGGCUCAUUGAUUGAAGAAAUACGGUGUGGGAAUCGUGGUAGCAGGUUCAAUGGGCAGCUGGUUCACGUAUGGCAGCUCGCUCAGUGUUCGACUGUUGAUUCCGUCUCAGCAGCCCAGGAAGCAGAGGAGGAGAAAGGCCAUUCUCUGUAUUUAGUCUGGUACUGUUUGGGGUUUGUGCCAUCCACGCUCUGCGUGGGUCUUCCCUCUUUCCUUAACCCUCCUGAAUACCUUCACACGAGCUAGAGGUGUCUCCUAGGUGAUUCUGAACCCAUAGAGGCUGACGGUGAAGAUGAAUCAUCAGAAUCCCACCCCCCAUCACUUUAAAACUCUAAUAUUCCCUCCCCCAACCCCCAAGGGCUCGUAGCCAUCUCGUGAUGUAAGAAGCAUCUAGUUCGCUGGAAGAAUCCCGAGCCUUAACAGUUUCAAUGACGUCCAAAAGCUCAGAAUCUCCUCUAAGACUCAAGGCAAUCUUGACUACGAGCAACUGUAAAUAAAAAUUAAACCAUAUACUUCUAAUACGCAA
Molecule: small RNA, 1042 nt
Filed under: Rattus norvegicus (Norway rat)
Lineage: Eukaryota; Metazoa; Chordata; Mammalia; Rodentia; Muridae
Description: uncharacterized LOC102550154
Source: RNAcentral